UGUUAGUGUGGGAGACUAGGGCUGGC
RNAcentral lists this non-coding RNA (26 nucleotides) under Cricetulus griseus (Chinese hamster). The record is from RNAcentral. Lineage: Eukaryota; Metazoa; Chordata; Mammalia; Rodentia; Cricetidae.